RNAcentral lists this ribosomal RNA (429 nucleotides) under Gemmatimonadota bacterium. RNAcentral's name for it is "Gemmatimonadetes bacterium partial 16S ribosomal RNA". It matches the Rfam family "Bacterial small subunit ribosomal RNA", at positions 355 to 776 of the family's 1533-position model. The record is from RNAcentral. Lineage: Bacteria; Pseudomonadati; Gemmatimonadota.
UAGGGAAUCUUCGGCAAUGGACGAAAGUCUGACCGAGCAACGCCGCGUGAGUGAAGAAGGUUUUCGGAUCGUAAAACUCUGUUGUUAGAGAAGAACAAGGACGUUAGUAACUGAACGUCCCCUGACGGUAUCUAACCAGAAAGCCACGGCUAACUACGUGCCAGCAGCCGCGGUAAUACGUAGGUGGCAAGCGUUGUCCGGAUUUAUUGGGCGUAAAGCGAGCGCAGGCGGUUUCUUAAGUCUGAUGUGAAAGCCCCCGGCUCAACCGGGGAGGGUCAUUGGAAACUGGGAGACUUGAGUGCAGAAGAGGAGAGUGGAAUUCCAUGUGUAGCGGUGAAAUGCGUAGAUAUAUGGAGGAACACCAGUGGCGAAGGCGGCUCUCUGGUCUGUAACUGACGCUGUGGCUCGAAGGCGUGGGGAACAAACAGG